GACCAGCUAGACAGUGGAUAUCACAUCAUGGUAGAUGUGAUAUGGCUUAAAAGGGCCUAAAAACUGUCGCUGUAAAUGGCGCAAAAUAUAUUGGUACUAAAAUGAUGAAACUGCUUAGUUAGGGACAUGGGCGAUGGCAAAUGGGUUUCGCUAAGACAUGAUGCAACAAGACAAAACCAAACAUAAUAGUGACACUAGAGCUUCAAGAGUGCCCUUGAGUAGAAGGGUUGUUAGUCGUGCGCUAAAAAUUACCUGUCCAAGUGAUUUUCAGAGUAUCUGCUUCAGUUAAAAGCUCAGGUUAAAAAGCGGUUCAUUUCUAAGAAAAAGUUCAGGGUGAAGAGGUAUAUUUUCACUCUAUGCAGAAGGGAAAUACUUCUCUCUGUUUCUAUUCCAGGGCACUGAAUAAGAACAUGGAGAACUGUCAGACUGUUGCUGCGCUUACUACAAGUUGGAGGAUCGCCCCCAGUCAAGAGGUCAGAGGGAAAAGCCAGUACUCCUCACCAUGGUUGUCAGCGCCGCUGAAUACAGAAAGUGAGAGAGGCAUAAAGGAAAGAUGCCUCGACCUGCACCACUAAUGUAUCGCAGGCUGCUGUGUUUCAACUAAAUCUGCGCUUCCUGUGUCCAGUGGCCUUGUCGCUAAAUUUGUGCUUGCCAAUUUCUGUUAUAACUACAACCCACCAAUGUGAAAACGUGAUGCCUCGCCUCUUUUCCUUGUCCUCCUGGCCUUUCACUCUGCUGCAAGCUUUUAGUUUUCAAUGCUUCAAUGAAUAAUACAAAAAUUGAUGCUACCAUAUUAUGUGAUGGCUGCCAUGAUGUCAAUAAUUUAGGUGUACCUGAAACUAAAUAAAAAAAAAAACAAAUAGGCAUGUGUGAGUAGGAAUAACUGUUCCUUGUGACCAAAUUUGCUCAAUGCUAAACUUGAGGUCG
Long non-coding RNA from Dermacentor andersoni, 927 nucleotides. RefSeq lists it as uncharacterized. Lineage: Eukaryota; Metazoa; Arthropoda; Arachnida; Ixodida; Ixodidae. The record is from RefSeq and is a predicted model, not a curated record.